RNAcentral lists this ribosomal RNA (460 nucleotides) under uncultured bacterium. RNAcentral describes it as "partial 16S ribosomal RNA". It matches the Rfam family "Bacterial small subunit ribosomal RNA", at positions 338 to 795 of the family's 1533-position model. The record is from RNAcentral.
CCUACGAGUGGCAGCAGUGAGGCAUAUUGGUCAAUGGGCGCGAGCCAGAACCAGCCAAGUAGCGUGAAGGAUGACUGCCCUACGGGUUGUAAACUUCUUUUAUACAGGAAUAAAGUGAGGCACGUGUGCCUUUUUGUAUGUACUUUAUGAAUAAGGAUCGGCUAACUCCGUGCCAGCAGCCGCGGUAAUACGGAGGAUCCGAGCGUUAUCCGUAUUUAUUGGGUUUAAAGGGAGCGUAGAUUGGUUGUUAAGUCAGUUGUGAAAGUUUGCGGCUCAACCGUAAAAUUGCAAUUGAUACUGGCAGUCUUGAGUACAGUUGAGGUAGGCGGAAUUCGUGGUGUAGCGGUGAAAUGCUUAGAUAUCACGAAGAACUCCGAUUGCGAAGGCAGCUUACUAAACUGCCACUGACAUUGAUGCUCGAAAGUGUGGGUAUCAAACAGGAUUAGAUACCCGAGUAGUC